RNAcentral lists this transfer RNA (72 nucleotides) under Camelus bactrianus (Bactrian camel). It matches the Rfam family "tRNA". From Rfam's summary of the family: Transfer RNA (tRNA) molecules are approximately 80 nucleotides in length. Their secondary structure includes four short double-helical elements and three loops (D, anti-codon, and T loops). Lineage: Eukaryota; Metazoa; Chordata; Mammalia; Artiodactyla; Camelidae. RNAcentral also lists the same sequence under 2 other names. The record is from Rfam by way of RNAcentral.
GAGGGUGUAGCUCAGUGGUAGAGUGCAUGCCUAGCCUGUAAGAGGUCCUGGGUUCAAUCCCUAGUACCUCCA